AUACAUGCAAGUCGAACGAUAGAUAGCAGCUUGCUGUUAUCAAAAGUGGCGCACGGGUGCGUAACGCGUAUGCAACCUACCUCAAUCAGGGGGAUAGCCCGAAGAAAUUCGGAUUAACACCGCAUAACAACACAGUACAGCAUUGUACAAUGUUCAAAUAUUUAUAGGAUUGAGAUGGGCAUGCGUGUCAUUAGCUAGUUGGCGGGGUAACGGCCCACCAAGGCGACGAUGACUAGGGGAUCUGAGAGGAUGACCCCCCACACUGGUACUGAGACACGGACCAGACUCCUACGGGAGGCAGCAGUAAGGAAUAUUGGUCAAUGGAGGCAACUCUGAACCAGCCAUGCCGCGUGCAGGAAGACAGCCCUCUGGGUCGUAAACUGCUUUUAUUCGGGAAUAAACCUUAUUACGUGUAAUAAGCUGAAUGUACCGAAGGAAUAAGGAUCGGCUAACUCCGUGCCAGCAGCCGCGGUAAUACGGAGGAUCCAAGCGUUAUCCGGAUUUAUUGGGUUUAAAGGGUGCGUAGGCGGCUUAUUAAGUCAGGGGUGAAAGACGGUGGCUCAACCAUCGCAGUGCCCUUGAUACUGAUGAGCUUGAAUGAACUAGAGGUAGGCGGAAUGUGACAAGUAGCGGUGAAAUGCAUAGAUAUGUCACAGAACACCGAUUGCGAAGGCAGCUUACUAUGGUUUUAU
RNAcentral lists this ribosomal RNA (692 nucleotides) under Pedobacter sp. Its description in RNAcentral is "bacterial SSU rRNA". It matches the Rfam family "Bacterial small subunit ribosomal RNA", at positions 51 to 740 of the family's 1533-position model. Lineage: Bacteria; Pseudomonadati; Bacteroidota; Sphingobacteriia; Sphingobacteriales; Sphingobacteriaceae. The record is from RNAcentral.